This 425-nucleotide ribosomal RNA is filed under the name uncultured bacterium. Its description in RNAcentral is "bacterial SSU rRNA". It matches the Rfam family "Bacterial small subunit ribosomal RNA", at positions 354 to 796 of the family's 1533-position model. The record is from RNAcentral.
GUGGGGAAUCUUGCGCAAUGGGCGAAAGCCUGACGCAGCCAUGCCGCGUGAAUGAUGAAGGUCUUAGGAUUGUAAAAUUCUUUCACCGGGGACGAUAAUGACGGUACCCGGAGAAGAAGCCCCGGCUAACUUCGUGCCAGCAGCCGCGGUAAUACGAAGGGGGCUAGCGUUGCUCGGAAUUACUGGGCGUAAAGGGCGCGUAGGCGGACAGUUUAGUCAGAGGUGAAAGCCUAGGGCUCAACCUUGGAAUUGCCUUUGAUACUGGCUGUCUUGAGUACGGGAGAGGUGAGUGGAACUCCGAGUGUAGAGGUGAAAUUCGUAGAUAUUCGGAAGAACACCAGUGGCGAAGGCGACUCACUGGCCCGUUACUGACGCUGAGGCGCGAAAGCGUGGGGAGCAAACAGGAUUAGAUACCCCGGUAGUCC